GACAGAGGGUGCAACCGUUGCUCGGAAUUACUGGGCGUAAAGCGCGUGUAGGCGGACUGGUAAGUCGGACGUGAAAUCCCUGGGCUCAACCCAGGAACUGCAUCCGAAACUAUCAGUCUGGAGUGGUGGAGAGGGAAGCAGAAUUCCUGGUGUAGAGGUGAAAUUCGUAGAUAUCAGGAGGAACACCGGUGGCGAAGGCGGCUUCCUGGACACUAACUGACGCUGAGACGCGAAAGCGUGGGGAGCAAACAGG
This 253-nucleotide ribosomal RNA is filed under the name uncultured bacterium. RNAcentral's name for it is "partial 16S ribosomal RNA". It matches the Rfam family "Bacterial small subunit ribosomal RNA", at positions 524 to 776 of the family's 1533-position model. The record is from RNAcentral.